AUUGAACGCUGGCGGCAGGCCUAACACAUGCAAGUCGAGCGGAUGAAGGGAGCUUGCUCCUGGCUUCAGCGGCGGACGGGUGAGUAAUGCCUAGGAAUCUGCCUGGUCGUGGGGGAUAACGUCCGGUAACGGGCGCUAAUACCGCAUACGUCCUGAGGGAGAAAGUGGGGGAUCUUCGGACCUCACGCUAUCAGAUGAGCCUAGGUCGGAUUAGCUAGUUGGUGGGGUAAAGGCUUACCAAGGCGACGAUCCGUAACUGGUCUGAGAGGAUGAUCAGUCACACUGGAACUGAGACACGGUCCAGACUCCUACGGGAGGCAGCAGUAGGGAAUAUUGGGCAAUGGGCGAAAGCCUGAUCCAGCAAUGCCGCGUGUGUGAAGAAGGUCUUCGGAUUGUAAAGCACUUUAAGUUGGGAAGAAGGGCAGUAAGUUAAUACCUUGCUGUUUUGACGUUACCAACAGAGUAAGCACCGGCUAACUUCGUG
Molecule: ribosomal RNA, 484 nt
Filed under: uncultured bacterium
Lineage: Bacteria
Description: partial 16S ribosomal RNA
Rfam family: Bacterial small subunit ribosomal RNA
Source: RNAcentral